UAUGUUCUUGACAACUCUAGUCACAUUUAUGAUUUUAGUAACUGGAAUGGGCAUCUGUUCGAGUAUGAUGGAGGGAGUACUGACUGUGCGAUUCGGUUCUGUAAAGAUGUGGAAACGAGAUCACAAUCGGGAUAUGUUGGUUUUGGCAAAUUUGAGGGCUUCAACUAUUUUGUUGCCGGUUCAGAACAUUAUAAUUUUGU
Molecule: long non-coding RNA, 200 nt
Organism: Helianthus annuus (common sunflower)
Lineage: Eukaryota; Viridiplantae; Streptophyta; Magnoliopsida; Asterales; Asteraceae
Exons: 4
Source: RefSeq, a predicted model, not a curated record